UGGGGAAUAUUGGACAAUGGGCGCAAGCCUGAUCCAGCAAUGCCGCGUGUGUGAAGAAGGCCUUCGGGUUGUAAAGCACUUUUAUCAGGAGCGAAACGCUGUCGGCUAAUACCCGGCGGAACUGACGGUACCUGAGGAAUAAGCACCGGCUAACUUCGUGCCAGCAGCCGCGGUAAUACGAAGGGUGCAAGCGUUAAUCGGAAUUACUGGGCGUAAAGCGUGCGUAGGCGGUUUCUUAAGUCUGCUGUGAAAUCCCCGGGCAUCACUGGGAAUGGCAGUGGAUACUGGGAGGCUAGAGUGUGUCAGAGGGUGGUGGAAUUCCCGGUGUAGCGGUGAAAUGCGUAGAGAUCGGGAGGAACAUCAGUGGCGAAGGCGGCCACCUGGGACAACACUGACGCUGAGGCACGAAAGCGUGGGGAGCAAACAGGAUUAGAUACCCUGGUAGUCCACGCCCUAAAGCGAUGCGAACUGGAUGUUGGUCUCAACUCGGAGAUCAGUGUCGAAGCUAACGCGUUAAGUUCGCCGCCUGGGGAGUACGGUCGCAAGACU
This 549-nucleotide ribosomal RNA is filed under the name uncultured bacterium. RNAcentral's name for it is "partial 16S ribosomal RNA". It matches the Rfam family "Bacterial small subunit ribosomal RNA", at positions 355 to 895 of the family's 1533-position model. The record is from RNAcentral.